GCACUCUCGAAUCAUCUAGUCUACAUAUUCAUUACAAGGUUCACCGCAGCAUUUUGUGGCAUAUUCUGCACUCACGGCCAUGGCAAUGGCGUAAAACCUCCAAGAACCACAAUUUAUUUCGGUUCACUCGACUCAAGACCUACAGUUCGAUAAGUUGUGUGGUUCGAUUAUCCGAGACGAAAUGAAUUAUGUAAAAGUGAUGAUAAUUUUUUUCAUUUGUAUUAGUCAUUUCACCUGCGAAUGUUCUAGUGCACCCAAUAAAGGUUUAGUCAUGAGACUAUUACUACAUGAACAUUCACCUUCCAUUGAAUAUAAAUAUGUGGUGAAAACGAUACUACCUAAAGAACAACGAUGGUGGAAGCGAGGAACCCAUCGACUUUUCGCCGAAGAAUCUUCACCGAAAAUAAUAGAAGCCUAGACUAUAUAAUCCGCACACACGUAUAUGUCGAGACUAGUCAUAUUUAUCAUAAAAACUUAUAAAUAUUUAUUUUUUAUCAAGACUUCAUUACACUUUUGUAACGUG
Long non-coding RNA from Leptinotarsa decemlineata (Colorado potato beetle), 523 nucleotides. RefSeq lists it as uncharacterized. Lineage: Eukaryota; Metazoa; Arthropoda; Insecta; Coleoptera; Chrysomelidae. The record is from RefSeq and is a predicted model, not a curated record.